GACGAACGCUGGCGGCGUGCCUAAUACAUGCAAGUAGAACGCUGAAGAGAGGAGCUUGCUCUUCUUGGAUGAGUUGCGAACGGGUGAGUAACGCGUAGGUAACCUGCCUUGUAGCGGGGAAAACUUAUGGAAACGGUAGCUAAAACCGGAAAAAAAUUGAAGACCAAUGUCAUUUUUUUGAAAGGGGGAAUUUCUCCACUACAAAGUGGACCUGCGUUGUAUUUGCUAGGAGGUGAGGUAAUGGCUCACCUAGGCGACGAUACAUAGCCGACCUGAGAAGGUGAUCGGCCACACUGGGACUGAGACACGGCCCAGACUCCUACGGGAGGCAGCAGUAGGGAAUCUUCGGCAAUGGGGGCAACCCUGACCGAGCAACGCCGCGUGAGUGAAGAAGGUUUUCGGAUCGUAAAGCUCUGUUGUAAGUCAAGAACGGGUGUGAGAGUGGAAAGUUCACACUGUGACGGUAGCUUACCAGAAAGGGACGGCUAACUACGUG
Molecule: ribosomal RNA, 496 nt
Filed under: uncultured bacterium
Lineage: Bacteria
Description: partial 16S ribosomal RNA
Rfam family: Bacterial small subunit ribosomal RNA
Source: RNAcentral